This 489-nucleotide ribosomal RNA is filed under the name uncultured Bacillota bacterium. Its description in RNAcentral is "bacterial SSU rRNA". It matches the Rfam family "Bacterial small subunit ribosomal RNA", at positions 355 to 836 of the family's 1533-position model. The record is from RNAcentral. Lineage: Bacteria; Bacillati; Bacillota.
UAGGGAAUCUUCCGCAAUGGACGAAAGUCUGACGGAGCAACGCCGCGUGAGCGAAGAAGGCCUUCGGGUCGUAAAGCUCUGUUGUUAGGGAAGAACAAGUAUCGGAGUAACUGCCGGUACCUUGACGGUACCUAACCAGAAAGCCACGGCUAACUACGUGCCAGCAGCCGCGGUAAUACGUAGGUGGCAAGCGUUGUCCGGAAUUAUUGGGCGUAAAGCGCGCGCAGGCGGUCCUUUAAGUCUGAUGUGAAAGCCCACGGCUCAACCGUGGAGGGUCAUUGGAAACUGGGGGACUUGAGUGCAGAAGAGGAGAGUGGAAUUCCACGUGUAGCGGUGAAAUGCGUAGAGAUGUGGAGGAACACCAGUGGCGAAGGCGACUCUCUGGUCUGUAACUGACGCUGAGGCGCGAAAGCGUGGGGAGCAAACAGGAUUAGAUACCCUGGUAGUCCACGCCGUAAACGAUGAGUGCUAAGUGUUAGAGGGUUUCCG